AAGCCAGCCAACGCCUCCACUUACCUGAAUGUGUUUCUGCAGAAGUUUAGAGAAAGCUAUCAAUGUAGUACAGCCACGUCACAGAGCUUUACAGACAUUGAAGUCAUUAAGCUCCCCGAAAGUGGCUGUAAGG
This is a small nucleolar RNA of Pteronotus mesoamericanus, 133 nucleotides long. RefSeq annotates it as small nucleolar RNA SNORA33. Lineage: Eukaryota; Metazoa; Chordata; Mammalia; Chiroptera; Mormoopidae. The record is from RefSeq and is a predicted model, not a curated record. The transcript has a single exon.